This 774-nucleotide ribosomal RNA is filed under the name uncultured Neocallimastigales. RNAcentral's name for it is "partial large subunit ribosomal RNA". It matches the Rfam family "Eukaryotic large subunit ribosomal RNA", at positions 20 to 644 of the family's 3401-position model. Lineage: Eukaryota; Fungi; Neocallimastigomycota; Neocallimastigomycetes; Neocallimastigales. The record is from RNAcentral.
UACUAGAGUAGCACUCGCAUAUCAAUAAGCGGAGGAAAAGAAACUAACAAGGAUUCCCCUAGUAACGGCGAGUGAAGCGGGAAGAGCUCAAAUUUGAAAUCUUAAAGGGUUUCCCUUUACGAAUUGUAGUUUAAAGAAGUGUUUUCUGUUGAGGUUUUGGUAAAAGUUCUUUGGAAUAGGACAUCAUAGAGGGUGAGAAUCCCGUAUUUGACCUUUACUUUCAACUUUGUGAUACACUUUCAAAGAGUCGGAUUGUUUGGGAAUGCGGUCCAAAAUGGGUGGUAAAUUUCAUCUAAAGCUAAAUAUUGGCGAGAGACCGAUAGCGAACAAGUACCGUGAGGGAAAGAUGAAAAGAACUUUGAAAAGAGAGUUAAACAGUACGUGAAAUUGUCAAAAGGGAAGCGUUUGACACCAGUGUUGUUUUUCUGAAAAUCAAUUAAAGAACUGUUUAUGCUAAGCUGUUUAGACUUUAUCAGCUAACUGUUUAGUUUUGAGCUUUUCUUUAAUGCACUUUUCAGUUAACAAGUCAACAUCAAUUUCUUUUGCUGUAAAAAAGCUUGAGGAAGGUGGCUUGAGAUUCGUCUUAAGUGUUUAUAGCCUCUUGCCUAUGCAGUCGGAGAGAUUGAGGUCUGCAGCGUAGAUCCUUCGGGGCUAAAUGCAUUUGUGCUAAGUUAUAGCAUUUUAUAGACAACUUGUUGACUAUGAUUUGUCUUGUAGCUUACUCGCUUAUGUUAUUUUACCUACGCUUAGGAUGUUGAUAUCGCGCUCUCACUG